UGACAGUCUGCGCGUGAUGGUUGUCGGCGUCUUCAGCGUCGACCUAAUAGGGAAUACGGUGCAAAUCCGUGACUGCCCCCGCAACUGUAAGCGGCGAGUGCAUCGCGCAGAACCACUGGGCUGAAGCCUGGGAAGGUGCGAUCCGCAUGACGACCCGCAAGUCAGGAGACCUGCCAUCGCAUGUGAACUGAA
RNAcentral lists this non-coding RNA (192 nucleotides) under Marivita geojedonensis. Lineage: Bacteria; Pseudomonadati; Pseudomonadota; Alphaproteobacteria; Rhodobacterales; Roseobacteraceae. The record is from RNAcentral.